UUAGUAGGAGAACACCCCGUUCCGGUUAGAGCAACCAACUCAGCACCAGAACAUUAAAGAAACCGACCUCACCAGUCGGUUUUUUUAU
This 88-nucleotide antisense RNA is filed under the name Erwinia tasmaniensis Et1/99. RNAcentral's name for it is "ArsR-gov region gene B". It matches the Rfam family "ArsR-gov region gene B". From Rfam's summary of the family: arsR-gov region gene B is transcribed opposite of dinQ (translates into a toxic single transmembrane peptide) with 30 complimentary nucleotides. AgrB appears to repress accumulation of dinQ by RNA interference and counteracts its toxicity. Lineage: Bacteria; Pseudomonadati; Pseudomonadota; Gammaproteobacteria; Enterobacterales; Erwiniaceae. The record is from Rfam by way of RNAcentral.